Molecule: long non-coding RNA, 6590 nt
Organism: Trifolium pratense (red clover)
Lineage: Eukaryota; Viridiplantae; Streptophyta; Magnoliopsida; Fabales; Fabaceae
Exons: 3
Source: RefSeq, a predicted model, not a curated record
CCGGCAGCUACUUCAGGUAGAGCCAGGUCUGCAGCGGGGUCACCGGCAGCGGCAGCUAUCUCAGGUGGAGCAAGGGCUGCAGCGGGGUCACCGGCAGCUACUGCAGGUGGAGCAAGGGCUCAGCUGCUGCUAUGCAUAACUGUAUAAGCCAUCAUAGCUUGAGAUAGCAACUCAAAUUGAACUUAUUAUACAGUAGAAGAAUACAGCCUAAAUGACAAUGAUACAAAAGAAGCUCCGCGUCACCCAAGCUAUAGUUUAAAAUACAACAAACAAUACAUUUGAUAACAGAGGAACUGUUGGUGUUGCUAUUUUGCAUCAAAUUGCAGGACGGCGUCUUUUGUAAGUAGUGCAGGAAUUGCCCCUCUCUCCAUCACCGUGAUUCCACCACAUACAUUGGCGAAAUAUAGCGCUUUUCGGAGAUUCUCUUUGUCCUGCCACAUAAAAUAAACCCAUCAGCUCCAAACAUAACAUUCACACAUUUUCUGAAACAACAACUAGAAUGUGUAAAAAUAUCUGCCUUACCUUGAGUAUACUUGGGUCAGAAGCUAAGCUGUACAGAAAUCCGCUAACAAAUGCGUCGCUAGCACCUGUUGUGUCAACUGGUUUAGCUUUGAAACCUGCAACUCUGCCCUUAAAAUCCUGAAUUGCACACAAAUUUGACAAUCACUAUUACACUGGUCACUGGCGUGAUAAGAUAACAUUGUGAAAUACUGAACCUAGAAGCAAACCUUGCUCAAGUCAAGUUUCAGAACGAAGAGCAAAAUAAAAUAUUGAAAUGAAGGAUUAUAACUGAGUUAACUGACUUUGGCAAGCUUACCUAGUUACCUUGGUGUAAUGUCUACAACCCUCUGACCCUUCGGUAACAAUUAGAAGCUCGAUAUGAGGGUGAAAAAGCUUAUUUAAUACAACAUCAUCAUCAUAAGGAUCAUCACCACAAGUCAAAAAGGUAUGCUCAUUUUUACUUGUUUUGAAAAUGUUCAAGUGGUCAUGUGGAACAAGAACCAAAAUAAAAUUUGGAUGCAUAUAUGUGAGUCUUAAAUUAGAAUAUGCAUUUGCUGCUUUCGGUAUAAUUUGCCGUAAAUACGAACUUUGAAUGUUUCUUAUAAUAUCGAGUUAACAAUAUUGCUUGUUCCUAUUAAAAACAUGACUGCUACAUUUGAUAAUAUUUAUGAUUGGAGUACAUAAACAUUUUUUGUCAUAUUUGUAAACAAAAUAAAAAGGGGUUUUUCAUUGAUGAUGAUAUUCAAUUGUUAAUAUGCUUUUGGUUAUCAAAUUGUUGUUUUCAGUUUUGACGAAUUUAUUUGAUUAAGAACUUGAUAUCGAUCACGAACCUUGUCGAUGUCUGUAACAUGGAUUCUCUCCUUGUUAUUUCACUAGUUUGAAAUUUUGAACAUAAAAUGAACCUUAUUAUUAUUAAUUUGGUUUAAAGGUGAAUAAUGUAUCACUAGUUUCCUACAAAUCAAGAAUGAUCUUAGUACCAUAAUCCCUGAAUGAUCUUAGUACCACAUUUGAAUGAUAUCAUAUGAGAAUGGUAUUGUAGUACCAUUUGUUUAUCUAUUGAUAUUGUAGUAUCAAUAAAGGUGGUAUCGUAGUACCAUAGAUUCCUAUAUUGAUAUCGUAGUAUCAAUUCGAGUGGUGUUGUAGCACCAUUCAUGAAGGUGUAAUUCUUGACCGAUUUCUACAGUGCAGUAGCUAAUCGGUAUACAGUUGUAACUGUGCUGUUUUAUCCUGGGGACUUCGUGGUUGAUAAUCUGCUUGCACAAUUUUGGACAGUGCCGCGAAACGUCUUAAAGAGAGCGACCUAGUCCGCGACUCAACAUAGUAAUAUCUUCGGUAUCUGAAAAAUCUUUCUUAAUCGGUUUUAACACCGGUAACAACAAAAACAAUUAUAAUCUUUAUCCAUUUUACAGGAAGCUUCCGAGGUGAGUAUGUCUCGAAAGGUCCACUAGGAUGUUCUCCGUUUAGGAUGUUCUCCACUCAGGAUAUCCACUCAGGAUGUUCUCCUCUACCCUUUGUGACACAGCUAUGCCACAUUGGUCACUGCUCACAUUAUUUACUUAAAGGAUUCCUAUUAAUGUGGGCAAUCCUACUAUAAUCGAGUUUAUACUAAAUGAUGGUUUGGGCGUUAACCACUAAUCUACUCGACUAUUCUAGUUCUUAGUGUUCUUAAUUUGACAACUCAUCUCGGGGAACUAAAUAGCUUAUGCUCUCACGAGUCGAUAUACGUUAACACUCAUUUAGACAAUUUAGGAUUUACUUAUGUUGUGCUAAGCACUUAGAGUUCACGGAUAGAUUAACGGUUAUAAAAACAGUCAACUCGAAAUGGUCACCACAAUAUAAACCAUAAUCGAAUAUGAUGUUAAAAUGUCUAAUCUAUGGGGAAUUUGCACAAGUCAUAAGCCUCUAAGUUAUCAUCAUUUCACCCUAAACAUUGAUGUUGAAAUGGUGUGGAAACAUGUUUAAUAUUUAAGGAUCAUUAUUGUACGAAUCGGGAGUCGUCCGGGACUUAAAACAACAAAAACAGUUCUUAAAUCCACUCUUAGCAAAGCCCCAUUGACCCCUAACUUAUACUUCAUGAAAUUAUGAUUAUUAAACACAUUCACAUCACUUAUAAGCAAUGGGGAAAGAAUUACUCAAACAUUUCAAAGGUACUAAUCUAACUAUAUCAUCAAUGUUAUUAACUUGUAAAAUAAAUAAAUUCCUAUGCUUUGGACAUAUGGUUGCCAUGUCUCUACUUAAACAAAUCCACCUGAAAUUGCAGUUGAACCGCACUAACGACGUCUCUGGAACUCGCCGAAAUGCAGAAUUUGUAGUUCGAGUACGUUUGAUCCGUAUCCAUAAUUUUCUUCAUAAAAUACUGCAUCAGACCCUCCAAUUAAAAAUUGUCUACAGACUUCAAUUGUUAUCCAAAAUUCACAAACCUGACACCCAAACGACCGAGAUUUCAUUAGCUUUCCAAAGAAUCAAGCGGCAUCUCAAUCCGAGUUAUAGGGAGAGAGCAGUUGCCUUUUUACUGAAGGCAUGUCCAAGAAUACGGGUUUCAGAACUCUUCCAAUUCCUCUUAAUUUCUUCAAGCUUUGUUCUUCAAUCUCAACCUCAAUCUUUGUUCUUAUGUUGAAAGCUCAGUUUAAAAUCAUUACCCAACUGAUAAUUGCUCACCUCAUCACAUGUAAGAGGGUCAAAACUAAGAAAUAACUACGGGGUUCAUUAAAGUGGAAAAAGAAGAGAAAUCUGAAUGCAUUAUUCUUACCUCUCUCUCUCACGAACAGAACAUCAACACCACCACAACUCCAAAAGCUUCUCUCUUUUCUAUCUUUCAACUCAUGCAUGCCUUAGAUUUAAGUUUCAAAACCCAAAACCACCAACACUAAUUAAUUUGCAUUUUUUAUUUCCUUUCUAAAGAGCCAAGAAUUAUCUCAUGAACAACUCCCUCACCUCUCUCGUCCCAUAUUGAUUUAUCUAGAAUAUCAAUAGGAGCAUGUCUAAAUGGAUCGGAAUACAUUAAAAUUGCGGAAUUAAAACUGAUCUAUUACACAAGUAGUCUGAAGGAAAUACCAGAUAUACAUGAUUUAUUUAAAAUUAUAAUUGUCACAAUGUAAUUGUUAACAUAUUUACAUUAGAGCCAUGGUAACUACUAAAUACAUGUACAUGUAGCAUAAUCCUAUACAAGUGUUUAUUUAGCUUGAAACAGGUGAUCAACGAGCAGAAUUCAAUAACCUCACUAAUCCGUCCAAUCCUCAGCUUCUUGAACGAUAAACCUGUUACCUAUAAUCAAUAAUUAUGGGGUGAGACUACUAAGCCUCAGUGGAUUUCUUACUACCCUCUAUUUGGUGUGCUAACACCGGAAUCCUGAAAAAUAGCUGAUCACUGAACUUAUAUCCAUUAAAGAAUAACAUAACAUAAAUAAGGUGUAUCACACAAAUAUUAUCUUGUUCAUUUUACAGGAAGCUUCUGAGGUGAGUAUGUCUCGAAAGGUCCACUAAGAAUGUACUCCUCUUAGGAUGUUCUACACUUAGGAUGUUCUCCACUACCCGUUGUGACAUAGCUAUGCCACGUUGGUCUUACUCACAUUAAUUACUUAACUCAACGGAUUCCAUAUUAAAGUACGAAAACUUUUCAUAGUAUAAAGCUAUACUAAUAAGUGGUUUGGGAAUUAACCACUGUUGAUCAACUAUUCUAAUUUCUUAGUGUUCUUAUUAACAACCCAUUCCGGGGGAAACUAAAUGGCAUAUGCUCUUAUGUGUUGUCACAUGUUAGAUCACAUUUAAACGAUUAAGGAUUUAUUUACAUCGUACUAAGCAUUUGGAAUUCACGGAUAAGUUAUUUGUUGUAAAAGAACUCCGUCAACUUGAUGUGAUCAUGAGUUGCCUAAGCAUGUGGAAAGAAACUUAAAAAAAAAUGCACUAAAAUAUUUUUGAUGAAGAUGCUUGGAGCCCAACUUGAAGCCCAAUUCACAUGAUUAGAAGCAUCAAUGGUUUGAUUUUGUAGUCUAAUAAUAUUGGACUAAAUAAAAAAGAAUUAAGUCCAAUUUUCUUAAUUUUUAUUGUAAUUUUCGUUUUUGGUAUUAGGAGGAUUUUUAGAUGACUUUUAGUUGCUCCCUAGGCUCUCUAGAUGCUUCCUAGUGGUGCACUAAGUCAUUAUAGUGGUUAGUGGGAAUUUUCUAAGAUCUAUCAUGAAUGUACUCCCUCCGGCCUCAUUUGUAAGCAAAAGUCAACAAUAAAAUUUGGCCUUAAAUAUAAGCAAAAGUUACUAAAAGUAACUUUAUUUAUUGCUAUUCUUACAAAAGUACCCCUAUUAAUUGUUAUACUUUUUAACAUGAUUGCAUAGUCCCAAUACAAAUUUAAUAUAUUAUAAAGGGCAAUUUAGUAAAAAUAACAACUUCUUUAAUAAGUGUGCAAAUGAACAUUUUUGCUUAAAAAUGAGGCCGGAGGGAGUAUAUGGUAGUGGACAAUAAAUCCUACUAUGUAGGAUAGACUAUAAAUAGGGAUAUCAUGUACUUUUCAAAACAACUUGAAGUUUAGUAAAAAUAUGAGAUUUGUUCUCUUUGGUUCUAUGAACCCUAUCUUUAGCUUAUCGGUUUUCCGUGGCGCUAUCCUUUGACUUAUCAACCGGGACUUUCAUAGUCGGUUGUGGCGUCCUCACGACUUAUCAAUCGGUUUUCCACCCCGAUUGUGGCGUCUUUCCACCACAUCCACCAUCUCAACUCUUGUUUUUUGUUCCGACCGCUCCGUGUUUCUCAUCAUUUGGUAAUCAGAGCUUACGUUCAAAUCUGGUGUUAUCUAUCCUUUUCAAUUUUGUUGUUGAUUUUAUUUUAUUGUACUUUUUCAUACCUUCAAAAAAAAAAGUUGAAAAAAAAAAUUUCAAAAAAAAAUGUUUGGAAAAAAAUUUGAUGAAGAAAUAGAACUCUUUCUCAAUGAUAUGGAGAAGUUGUUUCAUAGUGAGUUUAAAAAAAUUCAUGAAAGUUUUGACCGCAUCGAGAGGAAACUUGGAAGAAAUUAUGGAAAAAGAGAUAGAGAAAAGGAGAGAGAAGAUAGAAGAAUGAAAAGUGAGGAACAAAUAAAAAGUCAUUCGGCAAAUUUUGAUGUGUUGUUGAAUGAUCUCCUUAAAGCUCUAAAGAAGGAUAGAGAAAAAGAAAGAGAAUGGAGUAAGGAGAAAAUUGAAAGUGUGGCAAAAGAAAAAGAUAUUAUUGUGAAAGAAGGGGACAAUAAAAAAAAUCAUGAAGAAAAAGAAGAAUUAGAGGAGACGAGAAAUAAUGAGACAAUUGAGUUCAAGGAGAGGGAGACAAAAAUAAGUGCUAAGAAGUCAUGCCUACAAACUACACUAGUACCUUCUUCUAAGUUGGUUUGUAUUGUCAAAUGUUGGGAUUCUUCUAAUAUUAUUCAAUUGCCUAACAAUUUUUCUUUAUGUCAUGAAGGCAACCAGGUGAAUGAAGAAGAACUUUCUCAACGAGUGGAAAGAAAUUACGAUUUUUGGAAAUAUGAUUAUAUCCAUGAAUCACAAGGGAAAGGAAAACACACAUUUCUUGCUAAUCAAAUUGAAAAGUUCUCUAAAGUAGAAGUUGUUACAUGUCAUGGAUUCUUUAGAUUCAUUUUUGAUCCAGGAGGUAUUGAAGCUAUAAAUUCGAGGUCGAAUUCUCUCUAAGAGGGAGAGAAUGAUGUGAUCAUGAGUUGCCUAAGCAUGUGGAAAGAAACUUAAAAAAAAAUGCACUAAAAUAUUUUUGAUGAAGAUGCUUGGAGCCCAACUUGAAGCCCAAUUCACAUGAUUAGAAGCAUCAAUGGUUUGAUUUUGUAGUCUAAUAAUAUUGGACUAAAUAAAAAACAAUUAAGUCCAAUUUUCUUAAUUUUUAUUGUAAUUUUUGUUUUUGGUAUUAGGAGGAUUUUUAGAUGACUUUUAGUUGCUCCCUAGGCUCUCUAGAUGCUUCCUAGUGGUGCACUAAGUCAUUAUAGUGGUUAGUGGGAAUUUUCUAAGAUCUAUCAUGAAUGUAUAUGGUAGUGGACAAUAAAUCCUACUAUGUAGGAUAGACUAUAAAUAGGGAUAUAAUGUACUUUUCAAAACAACUUGAAGUUUAGUAAAAAUAUGAGAUUUGUUCU